This 516-nucleotide ribosomal RNA is filed under the name uncultured bacterium. RNAcentral describes it as "partial 16S ribosomal RNA". It matches the Rfam family "Bacterial small subunit ribosomal RNA", at positions 28 to 523 of the family's 1533-position model. The record is from RNAcentral.
GAUGAACGCUGGCGGCGUGCCUAAUACAUGCAAGUCGAACGCAUUGAGAGAAGUGCUUGCACUUUUCAAUUUGAGUGGCGAACGGGUGAGUAACACGUGGGCAACCUACCUGAUAGCGGGGGAUAACGAGUGGAAACAUUCGCUAAUACCGCAUAACAAUAGAGAAGGCAUCUUCUUUAUUUAAAAGGCGCUUUCAAGCGUCACUAUCAGAUGGGCCCGCGGUGCAUUAGUUAGUUGGUGGGGUGAAGGCCUACCAAGACGAUGAUGCAUAGCCGUGUUGAGAGACUGAUCGGCCACAUUGGGACUGAGACACGGCCCAAACUCCCACGGGAGGCGGCAGUAGGGAAUCUUCCACAAUGGACGAAAGUCUGAUGGAGCAACGCCGCGUGUGUGAUGAAGGCUUUCGGGUCGUAAAGCACUGUUGUAUGUGAAGAAAUGCUAGGCUAGGAAAUGAGCUUAGUUUGACGGUACCAUACCAGAAAGGGACGGCUAAAUACGUGCCAGCAGCCGCCGCGG